GCGGCCAGCCACCAUCUUGGAAGCAGCUCGCCACCAUCUUGGAAGCUCUGUGAGCAAGGACCCCCGGUAACAUUUUGGCGACCACGAAGGGACAUCCAAAGCUAUUUUAAGAAUAGAGCCAAUAUUACAGCAAAUAACCUUCAUGCCUGCAAAAACUUUUUCAGCUUAACUAAUGCUUGUGAUGUUUACUGCCUGUCUUUUCAACUUGGUCUACUGAGUCUUUGAUACUGGUGACUGAGCUGCUUAAAGUGAACUCUGGACAAGGUGGACAGCAUCUUCUUGAUUUAAGAUAUCUUGCAGUAAGGGAAGCUAUGUCCUGAGAAGCCUUUACAGAGGCACAGGAAGAGGCCAGGACCUGAAGCCUCCCCCUCCCCCAAGAGUCACACAAGUGAGCUUGGAAGAGGAACUUCAGCACCAACUGGCAAUGUAACUAGUGCUGCGUGAAAGACCCUGAACCAGAACCACCUAAAUAAGCCCCUUCCAGAUAUCUGAGCUUUAGAAACUAUGUAAUAUAAUAAAGACUUGUUUGGGGGCAAUUUAUAACCCAGAACUGGAUAACCAAUACAGUUGUAUUUUUAACAAACAGCUGGCUGGGGUGAAGAGUGCAGGUUGAAACAACAAAAAGAAUUUUCCCCGUAGAAAUGUACCUCAUCCAUAUGAAAAAUUAUACUUGCAAUCGGAUUCUCAGCAGCAGUGCUUUAAAGUACAUUUGUAUUUAUUUAUUUUUAAUUGACAAAUUAAAAAUUAUAUACGUUUAUGGUGUAAAAGAUGAUGCUUUGAUAUAGGUAUAAACUGUGGAAUGGCUAAAUUAAGCCAAUUAG
RNAcentral lists this long non-coding RNA (821 nucleotides) under Pongo abelii (Sumatran orangutan). Its description in RNAcentral is "lincRNA". Lineage: Eukaryota; Metazoa; Chordata; Mammalia; Primates; Hominidae. The record is from RNAcentral.